Molecule: long non-coding RNA, 467 nt
Filed under: Vitis vinifera (wine grape)
Lineage: Eukaryota; Viridiplantae; Streptophyta; Magnoliopsida; Vitales; Vitaceae
Description: long non-coding RNA (VVIN_LNC002332)
Source: RNAcentral
AGUAAAAAAAUCAGUCAAAGCACCAACCCACCAAAGAAAGAAGAUAAAAACACAAGCUUACAAGCCAUUCUCUAUGACCCUGAAAUCCCUCCUUGUUCAAAACCUUGACAGCAACGGGGAGGGACUUGAGCCCAACCCUAACAUUCUCAUCAAUGUAACCCUUGUACACAGUGCCAAAUCCUCCCUCACCGAGAAUGUAAUCAGAGCGAAAACUCUUGGUAAUAGUCUCGAGCUCGAACAAUGUGAAAGCAAUGACAUGGGUGUAGAGGAGUGAGUUCUUGCCGGAGUCGUCAAGGUUGCGGGGAGUGGAGUGAUGAUCGCUCAGAUCUGAGACAGAGCGGCUGUGCUUCUUUCCACAAUUGGGAGCAGCAUCUUUGACAGACAAGGAAGAGAGGAUGUGGAGCUGCUGAACUGCAAAAGGAAGAGAGUGAGUGAUGGGGAAAGGGGGUGAGAAAAGAAAAGUGGGA